Molecule: ribosomal RNA, 426 nt
Filed under: Hymenobacter sp. R-42674
Lineage: Bacteria; Pseudomonadati; Bacteroidota; Cytophagia; Cytophagales; Hymenobacteraceae
Description: partial 16S ribosomal RNA
Rfam family: Bacterial small subunit ribosomal RNA
Source: RNAcentral
GGCUCAGGAUGAACGCUAGCGGCAGGCCUAAUACAUGCAAGUCGAACGGUYRKUAGCAAUAACAAUAGUGGCGCACGGGUGCGUAACGCGUARCCAACCUACCCGAAUCUGGGGGAUAGCCCGCCGAAAGGCGGAUUAAUACCGCAUAAAACCACAGARYGGCAUCRYUUAAUGGUUAAAGAUUUAUUGGAUUCGGAUGGGGYUGCGUGCCAUUAGCUAGUUGGGGAGGUAACGGCUCACCAAGGCGACGAUGGCUAGGGGAGCUGAGAGGCUGGUCCCCCACACGGGCACUGAGAUACGGGCCCGACUCCUACGGGAGGCAGCAGUAGGGAAUAUUGGGCAAUGGGCGAGAGCCUGACCCAGCCAUGCCGCGUGCAGGAUGAAGGCUUUCUGAGUCGUAAACUGCUUUUAYCAGGGAAGAAAAAA